AUACGGAGGGCGCAAGCGUUGUUCGGAAUCAUUGGGCGUAAAGCGCGUGUAGGCGGCUUGGUAAGUCGGGUGUGAAAUCCCGGGGCUCAACCCCGGAACUGCAUUCGAAACUACCUGGCUAGAGUCCCGGAGAGGGUGGUGGAAUUCCCAGUGUAGAGGUGAAAUUCGUAGAUAUUGGGAGGAACACCAGUGGCGAAGGCGGCCACCUGGACGGUGACUGACGCUGAGACGCGAAAGCGUGGGGAGCAAACAGGAUUAGAAACCCCAGUAGUCC
Molecule: ribosomal RNA, 274 nt
Filed under: uncultured bacterium
Lineage: Bacteria
Description: partial 16S ribosomal RNA
Rfam family: Bacterial small subunit ribosomal RNA
Source: RNAcentral